This is a long non-coding RNA of Toxotes jaculatrix (banded archerfish), 1675 nucleotides long. RefSeq lists it as uncharacterized. The record is from RefSeq and is a predicted model, not a curated record. The transcript has 4 exons. NCBI's taxonomy places the organism in Eukaryota, Metazoa, Chordata, Actinopteri, Toxotidae.
CACCGGGCUGACGUCACAUGUCAACACGGAGGACUAACAAACAAAUAAGUACAAUUUAAAAAGAGGAGAGCCUGCUAUAAUAACAACAACAACAAUAAUAAUACAUUAUUGGAUAGAUAGAUUGGACAGAUAAAUAAAAAAAAAAUAAAAACAAUGACAGUAGCUCUAAACAGUUCAAGGAUGAGACGUUUUGCAUUUUCUCAUUUAUUCCCCUUCUUUUCUUAUUUAUUUCUGUAUUGUGAAUGUCUGUACAUAGUGUAUAUUUUGUAUACAAGUAAAUCUCAAUAAAUAAAUGUGUGAAAGUAAAUAUAUGACAUAUUAACAGGAUUUCAUGCUGUUGUUUACAUCUUAGUGCUGUGUUCAACAGCAACAUCAUUGUUCCCUCCUCCAAGGCUCUGCAAAGGCCCUGAAGCUCUCUUCUUCCCCGUCCUCUCAUCUUCCUUCCACCCCUCCUCCCUCUCUCCUUCCCUCUGCUGCUCCUCUUCAUCAUGCUCUUCCUCCUCAGGGGUGAUUUUCACGGCCACUUCCUGGUUGAUGAUUUCGUUCUGCGAGGCCACAGGAUUGUCGUAGUAGCCCUCCUCACAGAUGGAAGAGGAAGAGGAGGCAGCGUGGUCUGCGGGGUCAGCAGGUGUUGGCACAGCAUUGAAGGUGAUGAAGCCAAUGAGGAUGACCAACAGUGAGACCAGUUACAUUCAGCAGGUUGCUGUGACCCAGACAGUGGACGCAACGAAGCACUACAAGUGGAGAAAGCAGGAAAUAAGGAACCUGAACUUGAGACAUAGGAAGACCCCACAGAAGAGACUGAAGAGGUCAGCGGUGAGCAGGGAGAGGUUGACAGAGGUGGCGCUGCUCAGCUUCAUCACUAUGGGCAUGCUGCUGUACAGAGUGUACAUACACAACGCAAAGGCAGAGAACAGGAGCCCUGAGAGGAGAAAUACCCAGAUGUUAUUUCACUCCUUGAUAUGACGGAGGCUCGUCUACAACCUAACCAGGUGAAAACUUCCUUGGGGCUGAAUUUCCGGAUCCUCGCCAUGAGUCUGGUGCUCUGGUUCUCGUAGCUCGUGUCCCUGGAUGCAUCUUCGGGCUGUUUAGCAGCCAUGUUGCCUCAGCAGUGAUGGUGGAAUCCUCUCUGAGUUUAACUGUUACAAGCUUUUAACUCCUUGACCUUCAAGGUGCUGGAGCUGAAUGAUUAACUGACUCAGAGGGCAAAGAUUACUCCUUCACUUAUGUGUGUGUGUGUGUGUGUGUGUUUACAGUCAUGUAUUGAAGACAGCUGGCAGCUCUCAAAGAUAAGAGCUGAUGAUGAAAGAAGUCAUCAGUGUGCUUCCUCUUGUUUUCACUGUCAUUGAUGAGAUAACUCAUGUUGGAGGGAAAGUGCUUCAUCAUGGCCUUUAAAAAAUUUUCAUGGAAAUGGCAAAACAAAUUAAGUACAUUAACUCAAGCAUUGUAUAAUAAUUGUAUUAUUAUAUCUGUAUCAACAACCUAAUAAUGUGACACAUAACUAGACUAUUCAGUUCCUGGAGGAAUUGUGGUGGGAUUGCUGGCUUCUAGAGAGGCAGCUGACUUAAUUAACUGGCAACUGUUUUAAUAAUCAUUUAUCAUGCAACAAUACCAAACAUUUCAUGACUCCAGCUUCUACAGCGUGUGGAUUUUCUUGUAGUUAUUUCAAGAAUUU